RNAcentral lists this ribosomal RNA (1449 nucleotides) under uncultured bacterium. RNAcentral's name for it is "bacterial SSU rRNA". It matches the Rfam family "Bacterial small subunit ribosomal RNA". The record is from RNAcentral.
UAGAGUUUGAUCCUGGCUCAGGAUGAACGCUGGCGGCGUGCUUAACACAUGCAAGUCGAACGAACCUUCGGGUUAGUGGCGGACGGGUGAGUAACGCGUGAGAAUCUGCCCUCAGGAGGGGGAUAACAGCUGGAAACGGCUGCUAAUACCCCAUAUGCCGCGAGGUGAAAUGAAUUUCGCCUGAGGAUGAGCUCGCGUCUGAUUAGCUAGUUGGUGUGGGUAAUGGCUCACCAAGGCAUCGAUCAGUAGCUGGUCUGAGAGGAUGAUCAGCCACACUGGGACUGAGACACGGCCCAGACUCCUACGGGAGGCAGCAGUGGGGAAUUUUCCGCAAUGGGCGAAAGCCUGACGGAGCAACGCCGCGUGAGGGAUGAAGGCCUCUGGGCUGUAAACCUCUUUUAUCAAGGAAGAAGAUCUGACGGUACUUGAUGAAUAAGCCACGGCUAAUUCCGUGCCAGCAGCCGCGGUAAUACGGGAGUGGCAAGCGUUAUCCGGAAUUAUUGGGCGUAAAGCGUCCGCAGGCGGCCCUUCAAGUCUGCUGUUAAGAAGUGGAGCUUAACUCCAUCAUGGCAGUGGAAACUGAGGGGCUUGAGUGUGGUAGGGGCAGAGGGAAUUCCCGGUGUAGCGGUGAAAUGCGUAGAUAUCGGGAAGAACACCAGUGGCGAAGGCGCUCUGCUGGGCCAUCACUGACGCUCAUGGACGAAAGCCAGGGGAGCGAAAGGGAUUAGAUACCCCUGUAGUCCUGGCCGUAAACGAUGAACACUAGGUGUCGGGGGAAUCGACCCCCUCGGUGUCGUAGCCAACGCGUUAAGUGUUCCGCCUGGGGAGUACGCACGCAAGUGUGAAACUCAAAGGAAUUGACGGGGGCCCGCACAAGCGGUGGAGUAUGUGGUUUAAUUCGAUGCAACGCGAAGAACCUUACCAGGGUUUGACAUCCUGCGAAUCUCUUGGAAACGAGAGAGUGCCUUCGGGAGCGCAGUGACAGGUGGUGCAUGGCUGUCGUCAGCUCGUGUCGUGAGAUGUUGGGUUAAGUCCCGCAACGAGCGCAACCCACGUCUUUAGUUGCCAGCAUUUAGUUGGGCACUCUAGAGAGACCGCCGGUGAUAAACCGGAGGAAGGUGUGGAUGACGUCAAGUCAUCAUGCCCCUUACAUCCUGGGCUACACACGUACUACAAUGCUACGGACAAAGGGCAGCAAGUUCGCGAGGACAAGCAAAUCCCAUAAACCGUGGCUCAGUUCAGAUCGUAGGCUGCAACUCGCCUACGUGAAGGAGGAAUCGCUAGUAAUCGCAGGUCAGCAUACUGCGGUGAAUACGUUCCCGGGCCUUGUACACACCGCCCGUCACACCAUGGAAGUUGGCCACGCCCGAAGCCGUUACUCCAACCCUUGUGGAGGAGGACGUCGAAGGUGGGGCUGAUGACUGGGGUGAAGUCGUAACAAGGUAACCA